CAGCCGCCGCGUUAAUACGUAGGUCCCGAGCGUUGUCCGGAUUUAUUGGGCGUAAAGCGAGCGCAGGCGGUUAGAUAAGUCUGAAGUUAAAGGCUGUGGCUUAACCAUAGUACGCUUUGGAAACUGUUUAACUUGAGUGCAAGAGGGGAGAGUGGAAUUCCAUGUGUAGCGGUGAAAUGCGUAGAUAUAUGGAGGAACACCGGUGGCGAAAGCGGCUCUCUGGCUUGUAACUGACGCUGAGGCUCGAAAGCGUGGGGAGCAAACAGGAUUAGAUACCCCGGUAGUCCCUGUCUCUUAUACA
Molecule: ribosomal RNA, 301 nt
Filed under: uncultured bacterium
Lineage: Bacteria
Description: partial 16S ribosomal RNA
Rfam family: Bacterial small subunit ribosomal RNA
Source: RNAcentral